UUGAACGCUGGCGGCAUGCCUUACACAUGCAAGUCGAACGGCAGCACGGGGGCAACCCUGGUGGCGAGUGGCGAACGGGUGAGUAAUGCAUCGGAACGUGCCCUGAAGUGGGGGAUAACGUAGCGAAAGUUACGCUAAUACCGCAUAUUCUGUGAGCAGGAAAGCAGGGGAUCGCAAGACCUUGCGCUUUAGGAGCGGCCGAUGUCGGAUUAGCUAGUUGGUGAGGUAAAGGCUCACCAAGGCGACGAUCCGUAGCGGGUCUGAGAGGAUGAUCCGCCACACUGGGACUGAGACACGGCCCAGACUCCUACGGGAGGCAGCAGUGGGGAAUUUUGGACAAUGGGCGCAAGCCUGAUCCAGCCAUGCCGCGUGAGUGAAGAAGGCCUUCGGGUUGUAAACCGCUUUUGUCAGGGAAGAAAUCCUUUGAGCUAAUACCUCGGAGGGAUGACGGUACCUGAAGAAUAAGCACCGGCUAACUACGU
This 482-nucleotide ribosomal RNA is filed under the name uncultured bacterium. RNAcentral's name for it is "bacterial SSU rRNA". It matches the Rfam family "Bacterial small subunit ribosomal RNA", at positions 30 to 506 of the family's 1533-position model. The record is from RNAcentral.